UUUUCCUAUAAGUGAUCCAACAUUUCAAGUACUAAUCAUGAUUCUCCUCUUAUCCUGUUCUUUCCUAAUUGAUAUUCUUUUAUGAUAUCUUCUAUUGCUUUCUAUGCCUAUCUUGUAUUCUGUUCACUAUCUGUUCUAUGGACCAACUUUUUUAUCCACACCUGUCUAUAAUGUAGGAAUUCUUGCUCAUUUAACACUACACCUAAGUGCCGGCAUGACGCGUCGCUUUCGG
RNAcentral lists this unclassified non-coding RNA (232 nucleotides) under Hevea brasiliensis (rubber tree). The record is from RNAcentral. Lineage: Eukaryota; Viridiplantae; Streptophyta; Magnoliopsida; Malpighiales; Euphorbiaceae.